UUGAGUUCGGAACUCAUUUCGAGCUCCUCUCAAACAGAGUUGGAAAAUGAGCUCUCGGCUCGAGUCCAGCCCUCCGCUGCUGAAAAUGAUUUGGUGUGGGAGCAUUUUCUCCUGCACAUCAUUUUACGCUGAGAGACAAGAAAAGAAGCUUGUAAGUGAAAAAUACAAAAUGGUGAACUACAUGCUGAUGAUCUGUGCCGACAUGAAGAAUCUCGCAAAACUGGAGCCGGAAGGUGGCUGUGAUGUCAUAAUCCCAAUUUCUCCUACUUCUUCAAGUGCUAGAGUUGUGGGAGGGAGGGCACUGUGACAAUGUUCUCAGGGCAAGGUAAGCCGCUGACCCGGGAAGCUAGUGAAUACUGCCCCAUGAUGUGUUAUUAGACUGCAAGGGUAUGAGCCUGCGGAUUUCAUCUUUGGUGUGGGUGGAAGGUUGAAUCUGUAAGUUUCUACUCUUCAUCCUUCCACUUUGUCAUUCAAAAUGAGAAUUAGACAUUUUUCUUCCAAGAAUUAUGUGUGGAUGUGUCAGACCUCUUAUAACUAAGGUCUAUAGGAAGAGACACAAGGCAAGCAGAAGAAGAACCUUUUUUUUUUGGUAAAUAUAGCAGAAGAACCUUGCCCUUGGGGACCUAGCACCUCUAUCACUGUGGAUAGAUAAGAACACAACUGCAUGAUGACUCACAGCUGGAGGAAUAAAGAGAUGUAAGCAGUAUAUAAGGACAAGCAGAGAGGAGAUGAAGGAGAGGUAAUAAAACUGAAUGGUUUAACUGGGGCUGACUGCCUUUGGGGACCCAGCACCUCUAUCGCUGUGGAUUAUUAUUCCUCCUUUUCCUCUUCUAUUGUCUUUAGCCUGUAAGCUGGAAUUCUUCUAAGACUUUCUUCCAGUUGAAUAAAUAUUUCUACAUGCUGUUUAGUUUUAUUGUUGAAGCAAACAGAUUGCAUGUGUGAUCACUGCUGAAAAUUGUCUAAAUCACUUGAGUGGGUGUUGUGCUAAUCGGGUUGUCAUCAUGGAUGUAAAGUAUAUGUUGCAAUUCAUGGUCCAGACUAUGACUGUACAAAUUAUAUCUAGGUAUCAGAUAUAUUACAUUUCAUUUCAUUUGAGCAGUUUUUUAUGGAGUAUCGAAGGUGCUCUGGAAUGUUUGAGAAUGACCUCUGUUCUUGUCAAAGAAAGCUUCUUGAAUGCUGCUCCACUGAGAUCAUCUGGGAGAGAAUUUGCGGCAUUAUGAAAACUGAAAGGUGAAAGGUAGGCUAUCAUCCAUCCGAGAAUGGGUGUUGGAAAAUGAGUUUAGUUGAGAAGGUUUACACGUCUCAUGCAAGAAGAAGGUAAGGUGUAGGUAGCCAGUCUCAGCCCAAAAAAAAUUUCGACUAGACUUCUCAUCGGUUCGGUAUGACAUCAGUGCAGCUUAUUUAUUAUGAGAGUCCAAUUUCAAUGGGACUUCGUGUUUGCCUCCUUGUCAAAUUAUCAUCUUCUUCUUGCUUUUGCUUUUCGUAUAAGCAA
Long non-coding RNA from Mangifera indica (mango), 1492 nucleotides. RefSeq lists it as uncharacterized. The transcript is spliced from 3 exons. Lineage: Eukaryota; Viridiplantae; Streptophyta; Magnoliopsida; Sapindales; Anacardiaceae. The record is from RefSeq and is a predicted model, not a curated record.